Molecule: long non-coding RNA, 619 nt
Filed under: Fukomys damarensis (Damara mole-rat)
Lineage: Eukaryota; Metazoa; Chordata; Mammalia; Rodentia; Bathyergidae
Description: lncRNA (ENSFDAG00000025200.1)
Source: RNAcentral
UGUUAUGGAAAUAGUCUUGACGUUUUCAUUCUUUUGACAGGUGACUUUGCUUGCUGAACACAGGGUUGUGAUAUAAUCCCAUGAUCAACACUGUCACAAUAAAAUAUCACAUGUCUAUGAUUUGGAAAACUCUAAUGAUUAAUUUGGAUGCUUUCCUCUACAUAAAUGGAGUUAUCUGCUGGUGGCGCUUGAGAAGGAGCAUGUACUCUCUACCAUGAAUUCUUGGGACAUUGUUUAACAGUUCCAGCAUGGGUGGUGUCCAGGCAUGUAAGAAGCAUUCUUUAUCUUUUCUAAAGCAAGUAUGUCCCAGAGCCUUAUGAUGAUGUGUUUGGAAAGAAUUGGAAAGAGGUAGACAAGCAACUAUUGCUUAUAUUUGUAAUAUAGUUUAUGGAUCUCAUGUUUUGUUUCUUGUGAUUUUCCCCACAGCCUAUGAAAUAAAUACAAUUAUUGUUGAUACUACUUUGCUUGAUAAAGAAACCCAGACUCAGAGACCCCAUCUAAAUUAGUAAUAAAUUAAAGCAAGAAUGUAAAAGCCGCUUUCUCCUUCUGUGCUAUCCCUAGAAACCAUCUUAUAAAGGCUACUUUCUUAGGAACCAUUUUAUGGGACUUUAAACAGGAC